CUAGGAAUCUGCCUGGUAGUGGGGGACAACGUUUCGAAAGGAACGCUAAUACCGCAUACGCCCUACGGGGGAAAGCAGGGGACCUUCGGGCCUUGCGCUAUCAGAUGAGCCUAGGUCGGAUUAGCUAGUUGGUGAGGUAAUGGCUCACCAAGGCGACGAUCCGUAACUGGUCUGAGAGGAUGAUCAGUCACACUGGAACUGAGACACGGUCCAGACUCCUACGGGAGGCAGCAGUGGGGAAUAUUGGACAAUGGGCGAAAGCCUGAUCCAGCCAUGCCGCGUGUGUGAAGAAGGUCUUCGGAUUGUAAAGCACUUUAAGUUGGGAGGAAGGGUACUUACCUAAUACGUGAGUAUUUUGACGUUACCGACAGAAUAAGCACCGGCUAACUCUGUGCCAGCAGCCGCGGUAAUACAGAGGGUGCAAGCGUUAAUCGGAAUUACUGGGCGUAAAGCGCGCGUAGGUGGUUCGUUAAGUUGGAUGUGAAAUCCCCGGGCUCAACCUGGGAACUGCAUCCAAAACUGGCGAGCUAGAGUAGGGCAGAGGGUGGUGGAAUUUCCUGUGUAGCG
This 567-nucleotide ribosomal RNA is filed under the name Pseudomonas asplenii. Its description in RNAcentral is "bacterial SSU rRNA". It matches the Rfam family "Bacterial small subunit ribosomal RNA", at positions 117 to 680 of the family's 1533-position model. Lineage: Bacteria; Pseudomonadati; Pseudomonadota; Gammaproteobacteria; Pseudomonadales; Pseudomonadaceae. The record is from RNAcentral.